GCCGGUGUGGCUCAGUGGAUAGAGCCUCAGCCUGCAGACCAAAGGGUCCCGGGUUCGAAUCCGGUCACGGGCA
RNAcentral lists this transfer RNA (73 nucleotides) under Myotis brandtii (Brandt's bat). It matches the Rfam family "tRNA". Rfam says of the family: Transfer RNA (tRNA) molecules are approximately 80 nucleotides in length. Their secondary structure includes four short double-helical elements and three loops (D, anti-codon, and T loops). Further hydrogen bonds mediate the characteristic L-shaped molecular structure. tRNAs have two regions of fundamental functional importance: the anti-codon, which is responsible for specific mRNA codon recognition, and the 3' end, to which the tRNAs corresponding amino acid is attached (by aminoacyl-tRNA synthetases). tRNAs cope with the degeneracy of the genetic code in two manners: having more than one tRNA (with a specific anti-codon) for a particular amino acid; and 'wobble' base-pairing, i.e. permitting non-standard base-pairing at the 3rd anti-codon position. The record is from Rfam by way of RNAcentral. Lineage: Eukaryota; Metazoa; Chordata; Mammalia; Chiroptera; Vespertilionidae.